GUUAUUUACAAUUUUGUGUUUGAAUGGAUAAACCCAUUGCCUACGUAUCACCUUAAAAGGGUAGGAUCAAAACCUCGUAGUUCGGGGUAAAAAUCUCAAAAGAAGUUGGUGAAUUGAUUGGUCAAAAUCCUUAAGGUCUUUUGUUAUCAAAGGGAUAAAACUCAACCCAAAACCACAAAUCCACCAUGUGAGGAGAGCUUCAACAUGCUAAUGAGAGGUUAAC
This 223-nucleotide long non-coding RNA is filed under the name Lathyrus oleraceus (garden pea). RNAcentral describes it as "Pisum sativum (pea) long non-coding RNA (PSAT_LNC029963)". The record is from RNAcentral. Lineage: Eukaryota; Viridiplantae; Streptophyta; Magnoliopsida; Fabales; Fabaceae.